Molecule: long non-coding RNA, 801 nt
Filed under: Ursus maritimus (polar bear)
Lineage: Eukaryota; Metazoa; Chordata; Mammalia; Carnivora; Ursidae
Description: lncRNA (ENSUMAG00000020176.1)
Source: RNAcentral
CUGCUGUUCCCCAUGUACCCGGCUACCGAUCCCUCAUUCCAUCGGAGCCCCUGGACUCUGCCUCGGCCCCUGAUGAUGCCCAUCACGUCAGAUGCAACUGACAGACUCUAGGGGGCUUGAGGUUCCCCCAAAGGGGCCCUUCUUGGCUCUUCUUCAGGAAACUUUCUCUUGUUUUAUAGCUGUGUCUCUGACUGCAACAUCGUUCUGUCUUCCCACGUGCUUGUUUACUGGUCCUGCUUCCUCUGGAUGGUUCAUGUCUUUUGCCUGAUUCAGUGAUCGGACUGUUUAUUUUAGCGGUUCUGAAAAUAAUCACUUACCCAUCGUGUCGAGUACGAGCAUAAGAAUGCAGAUGUCACCCAUCACCCAGCUCUCCAGCCUCAGAACAAGAAACAAGUUCACCAUCACCAUGCCAGUGUCUGUCCCAGGAAGAACUGAGACAAAAAGGAAGUUGGAAGCUUUUGGUCCCCCAAAUUCGAGGGUCUCUGCUGAAGUCUUUCCGUAUACAUUAAGUCUGGUUUCAGACAUUAUCCUUGGAUCGCCAUCAUAAAAGCAAAAUCUCACCCAGGCGAGUAAUUUCAUCUUGUACCAGAAUUUCCAAUGUACCAGAAUUUCCAACUGACAUUGGCUUGGAUCUAGGAGCAGAGACCCGAUAAGCCAGAUUCACUCACUUUCAUUGACUUUAGAAUGUUGCAACUGGAAGGAACCUCGGAGAUCAAGCCAAGUGGUUUUGAAAUGGUCUCAUUUUUGGGUUUUGUUGUAGUUUUUAAUGAAAUAAAUAUUGUUCUAAAAUGAACUCUUCCA